Molecule: long non-coding RNA, 85 nt
Organism: Haliotis rubra (blacklip abalone)
Lineage: Eukaryota; Metazoa; Mollusca; Gastropoda; Lepetellida; Haliotidae
Exons: 2
Source: RefSeq, a predicted model, not a curated record
GACGUUUGUGACGUCAAAGGGGCACAGUGCCAUACACUCGGACCUUCUUCAGUUAUUAUUGCCAUUAAACUGACAUCUACAGAAA